This 562-nucleotide ribosomal RNA is filed under the name uncultured bacterium. RNAcentral's name for it is "partial 16S ribosomal RNA". It matches the Rfam family "Bacterial small subunit ribosomal RNA", at positions 355 to 939 of the family's 1533-position model. The record is from RNAcentral.
UGGGGAAUAUUGGACAAUGGGGGCAACCCUGAUCCAGCCAUGCCGCGUGAGUGAUGAAGGCCUUCGGGUUGUAAAGCUCUUUUGGCGGGGACGAUGAUGACGGUACCCGCAGAAUAAGCCCCGGCUAACUUCGUGCCAGCAGCCGCGGUAAGACGAAGGGGGCUAGCGUUGUUCGGAAUUACUGGGCGUAAAGCGAGUGUAGGCGGUUGCCGUAGUCAGGUGUGAAAGCCUUGAGCUCAACUCAAGAAAUGCACUUGAUACUGGGUGACUAGAGGACCGGAGAGGAUAGUGGAAUUCCCAGUGUAGUGGUGAAAUACGUAGAGAUUGGGAAGAACACCAGUGGCGAAGGCGGCUAUCUGGACGGUUACUGACGCUAAGACUCGAAAGCGUGGGGAGCAAACAGGAUUAGAUACCCUGGUAGUCCACGCCGUAAACGAUGGGUGCUAGACGUUGGCGAGCUUGCUCGUCAGUGUCGCAGCUAACGCGUUAAGCACCCCGCCUGGGGAGUACGGCCGCAAGGUUGAAACUCAAAUGAAUUGACGGGGGUCAUAGCUGUUUUCCU